UACGUAGGGUGCGAGCGUUAAUCGGAAUUACUGGGCGUAAAGCGUGCGCAGGCGGCUUUGCAAGACAGAUGUGAAAUCCCCGGGCUCAACCUGGGAACUGCAUUUGUGACUGCAAGGCUAGAGUACGGCAGAGGGGGAUGGAAUUCCGCGUGUAGCAGUGAAAUGCGUAGAUAUGCGGAGGAACACCAAUGGCGAAGGCAAUCCCCUGGGCCUGUACUGACGCUCAUGCACGAAAGCGUGGGGAGCAAACAGGAUUAGAAACCCCCUGUAGUCC
RNAcentral lists this ribosomal RNA (274 nucleotides) under uncultured bacterium. Its description in RNAcentral is "partial 16S ribosomal RNA". It matches the Rfam family "Bacterial small subunit ribosomal RNA", at positions 524 to 796 of the family's 1533-position model. The record is from RNAcentral.